CCUACGGGAGGCACCAGUCGGGAAUUUUGGGCAAUGGGCGAAAGCCUGACCCAGCAACGCCGCGUGAAGGAUGAAGUAUUUCGGUAUGUAAACUUCGAAAGAAUAGGAAGAAUUAAUGACGGUACUAUUUAUAAGGUCCGGCUAACUACGUGCCAGCAGCCGCGGUAAUACGUAGGGACCAAGCGUUGUUCGGAUUUACUGGGCGUAAAGGGCGCGUAGGCGGUGCGGUAAGUCACUUGUGAAAUCUCUGAGCUUAACUCAGAACGGCCAAGUGAUACUGCAGUACUAGAGUGCAGAAGGGGCAAUCAGAAUUCUUGGUGUAGCGGUGAAAUGCGUAGAUAUCAAGAGGAAUACCUGAGGUGAAGACGGGUUGCUAGGCUGACACUGACGCUGAGGCGCGAAAGCUAGGGGAGCAAACGGGAUUAGAUACCCCGGUAGUCCUAGCCCUAAACGAUGAAUACUUGGUGUCUGGAGUCUUUAAUGCUCCGGGUGCCGUCGCUAACGUUUUAAGUAUUCCGCCUGGGGAGUACGCUCCCAAGAGUGAAACUCAAAUGAAUUGACGG
Molecule: ribosomal RNA, 563 nt
Filed under: uncultured bacterium
Lineage: Bacteria
Description: bacterial SSU rRNA
Rfam family: Bacterial small subunit ribosomal RNA
Source: RNAcentral